AACCGGAUAGCUCAGUCGGUAGAGCAUCAGACUUUUAAUCUGAGGGUCCCCAGGGUUCAUGUCCCUGUUCGGGCG
Molecule: transfer RNA, 75 nt
Filed under: Lepisosteus oculatus (spotted gar)
Lineage: Eukaryota; Metazoa; Chordata; Actinopteri; Semionotiformes; Lepisosteidae
Rfam family: tRNA
About the family: Transfer RNA (tRNA) molecules are approximately 80 nucleotides in length.
Source: Rfam by way of RNAcentral